This 897-nucleotide long non-coding RNA is filed under the name Homo sapiens (human). RNAcentral describes it as "HSALNT0348950". Lineage: Eukaryota; Metazoa; Chordata; Mammalia; Primates; Hominidae. The record is from RNAcentral.
CUAGCUUUGUCAGAAUCCUUUCUUUAACCAGGGUUCUAGUUAUGUUACCCAUCUUGACAAAGGACCAUCAUUGCCUCUCUUCAAACUUCAUAGCAGCCCUCAUCAUUAAUCUGGACACAGGUCAAACCUGUCCAGGGACCCUCAGCCAGUUCUGCUCUCAAUAAAAAAGUUACUUUUUAUUGUCCACUUUUAUGUGGUCAAUUAUUUUGACUCAAGUAAAAGAAGAACAAUGCAGCAAGAGAAUUGAGGAUAUUUUUGAGAAUGGAUUCAACUUCUGGAUAUCACAAACCAAAUUGUGGCACAGAAAGACAAUUCAUAAAUGUCUUCUUCAAAAUGGGCCAAUUAGGCCGAAGUUGAGAAUUUGGGGAAAAGUACAAAAUUGAGAUGAUCAAGAACUAAUUCUAGCUACAUUGCUGAAUGGAAAAACUAAGUAACAUGAAGCAGAUAACCUAUCUGUUGAUAACUGAGACUAAGAAAAUACAAACUAUUGAAAAAGUGAUGUGAUAUGACUUUAACUUAGCAUGAAAUGAAGAGACACCAGAGUAUAUACAAUAAGGAUUAUCUACUAUGACAAAGGAGUAGAUUACAGCCACCUCUGACAAGGCAACCACAAACAAAUCAGUUCAACCUAAGCACUUCAAGGACAGAUUCCUCUACUCUGGAGGUGGGAAAGUGAGUUUUCAAGACCUAUGCCAUCUAAAUACCUAAUUAUGGACUCUGCUGAGGAAGAGACUUCCAGAAUCACUACUAUAUGAACAGGCAACAGACUUUCACAGACUUUUUCACUAGCUCCUCUUCGUGGUCUUUGGCAAGUGACUUUUCUCAGACUCCUCAACCAUUGUCUUACAACCUUCCUAAAACAAUUCCCAGUUUCUCCCACCACUUUGUAAAGUUUAA